Molecule: ribosomal RNA, 253 nt
Filed under: uncultured bacterium
Lineage: Bacteria
Description: partial 16S ribosomal RNA
Rfam family: Bacterial small subunit ribosomal RNA
Source: RNAcentral
UACGUAGGGACCAAGCGUUGUUCGGAUUUACUGGGCGUAAAGGGCGCGUAGGCGGCGCGGUCAGUCACUUGUGAAAUCUCUGAGCUUAACUCAGAACGGCCAAGUGAUACUGCAGUGCUAGAGUGUGGAAGGGGCAAUCGGAAUUCUUGGUGUAGCGGUGAAAUGCGUAGAUAUCAAGAGGAACACCUGAGGUGAAGACGGGUUGCUGGGCCAACACUGACGCUGAGGCGCGAAAGCCAGGGGAGCAAACGGG